Molecule: ribosomal RNA, 253 nt
Filed under: uncultured bacterium
Lineage: Bacteria
Description: partial 16S ribosomal RNA
Rfam family: Bacterial small subunit ribosomal RNA
Source: RNAcentral
UACGUAGGGUGCAAGCGUUGUCCGGAAUUAUUGGGCGUAAAGAGCUCGUAGGCGGUCUGUCGCGUCUGCUGUGAAAAUCCAGGGCUCAACCCUGGACCUGCAGUGGGUACGGGCAGACUAGAGUGCGGUAGGGGAGAUCGGAAUUCCUGGUGUAGCGGUGAAAUGCGCAGAUAUCAGGAGGAACACCCGUAGCGAAGGCGGCACUCUGGGCCGGAACUGACGCUGAGGAGCGAAAGCGUGGGGAGCGAACAGG